RNAcentral lists this long non-coding RNA (1419 nucleotides) under Homo sapiens (human). RNAcentral's name for it is "HSALNT0036480". The record is from RNAcentral. Lineage: Eukaryota; Metazoa; Chordata; Mammalia; Primates; Hominidae.
GACAAGCAUGCUGUAUAAUAUAAAAAGUGAAAGCCCAAAAAAGGAUUUAAAAGGGUGUUUACAGUCUUAUUAAAGUUCAGUCCUGACACCACUGCAGGAAGGCAAAAUCUUAAAAGUACAUACUGCACUUUAGAAAUCAUAGAGCUGCCUCUGAGUGAAGGAGGGAUGGGGACCACUGGAGGGCAGCAGGAAGGGAAGAUAAAGAUGCAAGGGAGGUGCAGGUCCAUGGGAAGAAAGGAGACAAGAGGACGGUGAGGUGCUGGCUCAGGCUCCUGAGGACCCUGAUGCAUGUGAUUCCUGAAGAGUCAGGACAAGGCACCUGACGCCUUGCCACUGCCUCCAUGACUGUGAAGAACACAGUCUUAACCCUCAUGACUGUGAAGAACAAGGAUGCGGCCAGGAGGAAUUCACCCUGUGAAUAGUGUUUGUAAUGGAAAAUAAAAUACAAAUUUUAAAACCUCUGUAGCGCUACUUCCGUAGGAAUUUCUUUUGUGUGUGGAUGUCAGGGUGCCCACGGCCCAGCUGUUGGUGCUAUGCUCCACUUUGUGAGCAAAGCCAAUGCUGGACCCACAGCCAGCUAACCCGGGGACCUGCUGGAGUAGGGGCCAGUGUUCAUAAACUGCUGGGAAGUGCCCCCAGCACAAUAAUGCUCUUCUGGGGGUUCAAAAUGGGGGAAGGGUAUCCUCCCCUAAGUCAAAAGAAUAAGAAAGGGGUAGCGGUCAGCCACCCUGGAGCCAAAGUGAGGCCCAUGGUGCGCUGGGGGAGGAGGGAGCCUCGUGCUCACACCGGUCCUGCAGGCACCACUCAACUCUAGCAUCAGAGUCCUGGGUUCAAUCCCCAGCUCCACCAGCAACUGGCUGGCAAGCCUGAGUAAGCACUGCAUCUCUCCAGGCCUUCUGCACUCCUCUAGGACAAGAAGGUGACAAGGGGCACAUCUUGUAAGAUUGUUAGAAGAAUUUCAAAAGGCAGUGUGUAUCAACUGCUUAUUUUAAAGUCCCUGAUACAUACACAGGCACCAAGUGCUCAGGGAAAAGUUGGCUAUUAACAUGAGCUUUCUGGCCUCCACCGGAGAUGCCGACUCUUUGGUCUCGGCUUCUUUUCUUUUGCAGAUCCGUUCCUCCAUGUGAGUGGUCCUGUCUUGCCCACCCCAGGAAUGGGCACCUGACGAACCUGGACAAUUAUUAACACAUCCUUCCCCCGCAGUGUAGCUGUGGGUUGGGGGGCACGUGACCCCCUUCAGCAAUGCUCCUGUCUCUGGAAUUACUCUCUGUCUGGUGAUGUUGCAGGAUUAUCUCUGUCUCCUCCCUAGAAGGAUUCUGCCUAAGAAUGAAGUCGAUGAAGGGAAGUAAGAACUGAGAGAUGGAAGGAGAGAUCUGGAAGGCCCCCUAGAGCCCCAGGUUCUAGCUAUGUGAGAAGCCA